This 305-nucleotide ribosomal RNA is filed under the name uncultured bacterium. RNAcentral's name for it is "bacterial SSU rRNA". It matches the Rfam family "Bacterial small subunit ribosomal RNA", at positions 337 to 639 of the family's 1533-position model. The record is from RNAcentral.
UCCUACGGGAGGCAGCAGUGAGGAAUAUUGGUCAAUGGCCGGAAGGCUGAACCAGCCAAGCCGCGUGAAGGACGAAGGUGCCAAGCAUUGUAAACUUCUUUUGUCAAGGGACAAAAUCAGGCUCGAGAGCCUGACCGAGGGUACUUGAAGAAAAAGCAUCGGCUAACUCCGUGCCAGCAGCCGCGGUAAUACGGAGGGCGCGAGCGUUAAUCGGAAUUACUGGGCGUAAAGCGCGCGUAGGCUGUUGUGUAAGUUGGGGGUGAAAUCCCACGGCUCAACCGUGGAACAGCCCUUGAUACUGCGCG